CACAUCUACUGUUCGACCAACACCACCAGAGGAGUUAUCUCACCCGGUACAGUGUGAGACAGACCCUUCUCCUGUGAAUAGAGUUGUGGUGUAUGGAGAUGUAACUUAUACCACAUCUACUGUUCGACCAACACCACCAGAGGAGUUAUCUCACCCGGUACAGUGUGAGACAGACCCUUCUCCUGUGAAUAGAGUUGUGGUGUAUGGAGAUGUAACUUAUACCACAUCUACUGUGCUUUCUUGAUGCUGUUUGUGCACGGCCCUCCACCUCCUCAUCACCACCCAGUCUUCAGAUUCCUCAAUGCAACACUUCAACCUCAUCAGCCCGAUCAGUUUCAGCCUCAUGAUGACUUUGGUGGUGGUAGCUGUUGAUCAAUCAAUCUUGGGCCAAAUCACAACAGUGUCUGGACUCCAUGGGGGGGGAUCUAUCAUGCUGCUGCUCAGGAUUUACGUCCUUCGAUUCAAAAAUUCUCCCUGCAGAGUCCAAGCGCCAAAGACUUAAUAUCACCUCCAUAAUAAAAAUAAUUUUAUUUAAUUCUCUGGUCUCUCCUGAUUGAAAUACAAAAAUUUAAAUUGAAACACAAGGCGCUUUUCUUUUUCAUGGUCAAAAAGGGAUGA
Molecule: long non-coding RNA, 618 nt
Organism: Scomber scombrus (Atlantic mackerel)
Lineage: Eukaryota; Metazoa; Chordata; Actinopteri; Scombriformes; Scombridae
Exons: 6
Source: RefSeq, a predicted model, not a curated record